AUUGAACGCUGGCGGCAGGCCUAACACAUGCAAGUCGAGCGGAUGAAGGGAGCUUGCUCCUGGAUUCAGCGGCGGACGGGGGAGUAAUGCCUAGGAAUCUGCCUGGUAGUGGGGGAUAACGUCCGGAAACGGGCGCUAAUACCGCAUACGUCCUGAGGGAGAAAGUGGGGGAUCUUCGGACCUCACGCUAUCAGAUGAGCCUAGGUUGGAUUAGCUAGGUGGUGGGGUAAAGGCCUACCAAGGCGACGAUCCGUAACUGGUCUGAGAGGAUGAUCAGUCACCUUGGAACUGAGACACGGCCCAGACUCCUACGGGAGGAAGCAGUGGGGAAUAUUGGACGAUGGGCGAAAGCCUGAUCCAGCACUGCCGCGUGUGUGCUGAAGGUCUUCGGAUUGUAAAGCACUUUAAGUUGGGAGGAAGGGCAGUAAGUUAACACCUUGCUGUUUUGACGUUACCAACAGAAUAAGCACCGGCUAACUUCGUG
Molecule: ribosomal RNA, 484 nt
Filed under: uncultured bacterium
Lineage: Bacteria
Description: partial 16S ribosomal RNA
Rfam family: Bacterial small subunit ribosomal RNA
Source: RNAcentral